GACGAACGCUGGCGGCGUGCUUAACACAUGCAAGUCGAACGGAAAGGCCCUGCUUUUGUGGGGUGCUCGAGUGGCGAACGGGUGAGUAACACGUGAGUAACCUGCCCUUGACUUUGGGAUAACUUCAGGAAACUGGGGCUAAUACCGGAUAGGAGCUCCUGCUGCAUGGUGGGGGUUGGAAAGUUUCGGCGGUUGGGGAUGGACUCGAGGCUUAUCAGCUUGUUGGUGGGGUAGUGGCUUACCAAGGCUUUGACGGGUAGCCGGCCUGAGAGGGUGACCGGCCACAUUGGGACUGAGAUACGGCCCAGACUCCUACGGGAGGCAGCAGUGGGGAAUAGUGCACAAUGGGCGGAAGCCUGAUGCAGCAACGCCGCGUGCGGGAUGACGGCCUUCGGGUUGUAAACCGCUUUCGCCUGUGACGAAGCGUGAGUGACGGUAAUGGGUAAAGAAGCACCGGCUAACUACGUG
This 468-nucleotide ribosomal RNA is filed under the name uncultured bacterium. Its description in RNAcentral is "partial 16S ribosomal RNA". It matches the Rfam family "Bacterial small subunit ribosomal RNA", at positions 28 to 507 of the family's 1533-position model. The record is from RNAcentral.